This 467-nucleotide small RNA is filed under the name Vigna angularis var. angularis. Its description in RNAcentral is "Non-protein coding transcript". Lineage: Eukaryota; Viridiplantae; Streptophyta; Magnoliopsida; Fabales; Fabaceae. The record is from RNAcentral.
UCCAGUUCCCCUUUCUCUCUCUAAACUCAUCUCCAUUUUCUCCUUCUUGCUCUGUCUUCUCUCUACCCUUGCACUCAUUUGAACCGUUGAAAUUUCAAAUAGGUGGUGUUCUUUCGCUCACGGAGUUGAGAGCUUCCCUUCUAUCCGAUUAUAUUUCUAUUUGGACGGGUGAUUGUAGGGCACUGUUUGGGUUUUCUCUGUGAAGACACAUUUAGGGCACUCUAGUUGACUAUACUACUCAACCUCAAGAUGACGAGAAGGUUCCAUUGGAGAUGGCUUUGGAUGUUGAGGACAAUGCUACCGCCUAGUCUCUGGUGGUGUUAUUAGUUAUUCCUGAAAUUUGGGAUAUUGUUUUUCCUUCCAACUUAUAUUUAGAUUUUUUUGGAGUUUAAGUUUAAAUUCUGAAGCUAUUUUUAGGAUGACUGUAAUCCUAUUUACUCUUAACUGCUUUACUAUAUUACGCAUGA